GACCUCGGAUCAGGUAGGGAUACCCGCUGAACUUAAGCAUAUCAAUAAGCGGAGGAAAAGAAACCAACCGGGAUUGCCUCAGUAACGGCGAGUGAAGCGGCAAGAGCUCAAAUUUGAAAUCUGGCCCCCUCGGGGUCCGAGUUGUAAUUUGCAGAGGAUGCUUCGGGUGCGGCCCC
RNAcentral lists this ribosomal RNA (176 nucleotides) under Aspergillus sp. CCF 3110. RNAcentral's name for it is "partial 28S ribosomal RNA". It matches the Rfam family "Eukaryotic large subunit ribosomal RNA", at positions 1 to 177 of the family's 3401-position model. The record is from RNAcentral. Lineage: Eukaryota; Fungi; Ascomycota; Eurotiomycetes; Eurotiales; Aspergillaceae.